Numida meleagris (helmeted guineafowl) is the source of this 519-nucleotide long non-coding RNA. The record is from Ensembl. NCBI's taxonomy places the organism in Eukaryota, Metazoa, Chordata, Aves, Galliformes, Numididae.
ACAAAGCCGCAAUCUACCCCCACAGGCCCUUCCCUACCCAUUUUUUGGGGUAAAAAUGAGCCAUUUUCCCCCAAAUUCAGACCAAACUCAUCCUGAGUUGGCUCCCACCCCUCAGCAGAGACCAGUGAACCCACCAGGACGUUCCCUCCUUGCCGUAUCCCAUCGUUUUUUGGCUCAAUUUUGACUUUUGCUCCAAUUUCUGGAUACCCACAACCCUCCUCUCUGCGUGUAGGAUCAACCCAACCCAUUUUCUAGGGCAAAACCGAGCCAUUUUCCCCCAAAUUUGGACCAAAUUCACCCUGAGUUGGCUCUCACCCCCCAGCAGAAACCAACGACGCCACACUCUAUCCCCCAAGGCCCAUCCCUACCCUAUUUUUGGGGUAAAAACGAGCCAUUUUCCCCCAAAUUUGGACCAAGCUCAUCCUGAGUUGGCUCCCACCCUUCAGCAGAGACCAGUGAACCCACCAGGACGUUCCCUCCCCCCCACAUCCCAUCAUUUUUUGGCUCUAUUUUGACUUU